GAAAUGCGAUAACUAGUGUGAAUUGCAGAAUUCCGUGAAUCAUCGAGUCUUUGAACGCACAUUGCGCCCCCUGGUAUUCCGGGGGGCAUGCCUGUCCGAGCGUCAUUGCUGCCCAUCAAGCACGGCUUGUGUGUUGGGUCGUCGUCCCCUCUCCGGGGGGGACGGGCCCCAAAGGCAGCGGCGGCACCGCGUCCGAUCCUCGAGCGUAUGGGGCUUUGUCACCCGCUCUGUAGGCCCGGCCAGCGCUUGCCGAACGCAAAUCAAUCUUUUUCCAGGUUGACCUCGGAUCAGGUAGGGAUACCCGCUGAACUUAAGC
Molecule: unclassified non-coding RNA, 316 nt
Filed under: plant metagenome
Description: partial contains 5.8S ribosomal RNA, internal transcribed spacer 2, and large subunit ribosomal RNA
Rfam family: 5.8S ribosomal RNA (bases 1-105)
Source: RNAcentral